GUAGCUUCUCGGACCUUCAGCUAAGGCCAAGUGGAGUAUCUCGUUAGAUUAGUAUCUGAUUUGGCUUCUCUUUGAGGACACUGUAGGAAAUAGAUUUUCGGAGCAGAGAGGUGGGUCAGAAGCCUGCUCUGUUCACCCAGUGGGUCGACCUGGUAUCGCAGCAUCUCCAGGAAUGGUGCACCGCUC
Octodon degus (degu) is the source of this 186-nucleotide small nuclear RNA. Its record names the gene U2. It matches the Rfam family "U2 spliceosomal RNA". Rfam says of the family: U2 is a small nuclear RNA (snRNA) component of the spliceosome (involved in pre-mRNA splicing). Complementary binding between U2 snRNA (in an area lying towards the 5' end but 3' to hairpin I) and the branchpoint sequence (BPS) of the intron results the bulging out of an unpaired adenosine, on the BPS, which initiates a nucleophilic attack at the intronic 5' splice site, thus starting the first of two transesterification reactions that mediate splicing. The record is from Ensembl. Lineage: Eukaryota; Metazoa; Chordata; Mammalia; Rodentia; Octodontidae.